Molecule: long non-coding RNA, 667 nt
Organism: Nelumbo nucifera (sacred lotus)
Lineage: Eukaryota; Viridiplantae; Streptophyta; Magnoliopsida; Proteales; Nelumbonaceae
Source: RefSeq, a predicted model, not a curated record
AAUGAUUGGUGAGUUUUGGCAUAUAGAUAGCUCAUCUUCUAUCCACACAUAGACUUGGAGUUUGGCUCAAGCAGAGAGAAACAAUGACUCUGCUACUGCUUAAGCGUGGCCUGCUCUUGGCUUUGCUUUUUCAGAUUUUGAUCAUGUCUCACAGCCCAAGGCAGGUAGAAUCCAGGCCACUUCCUGUCCAAGAGCAGCAGAGGUACUCGAAGAUGUUUGCGCUGCUGGGCCUCAUUUGUGAGUGUUGUGAUGGUGUGGGUGGUGAUUGCAGGAGUACCUGGGUCUCCUCUUGCUCUAAACUCCAGUGCCUUCCAUGGAGAUCACAUUGAUCAUGUACAUAUAUUUUUGCUUGAGUUCCUAUGCUUUGUUUGUAUAUGUUUUGUUCAUCUGAAAGGCAAUGUUCUGUUUUCUUUUCCAGUCAAGAAAAUCCUCUUCUGCAACAAUAUAGUUAAGCACAGAAACCACUCUUUGUUAUGCUCCUUCCCAAUUCCCAAAUCGAAGUUCUUCCUCCAUAGGUUCAUCAGAGGAAUAGAAUCUGUGCCCUGAGGAAUUGUUGUUACUGGAAGUGUGUAAUGGCAAGAGAUGGUGCUGCUAGUACUACAGACAGCAAGUGUGUAAUAACACUAUCCUUGUGUUUUAGCAAGGGAGCAACUCUAUUUCCAUGAAA